GAUGAACGCUGGCGGCGUGCCUAAUACAUGCAAGUCGAGCGAACGGACGAGAAGCUUGCUUCUCUGAUGUUAGCGGCGGACGGGUGAGUAACACGUGGAUAACCUACCUAUAAGACUGGGAUAACUUCGGGAAACCGUAGCUAAUACCGGAUAAUAUUUUGAACCGCAUGGUUCAAAAGUGAAAGACGGUCUUGCUGUCACUUAUAGAUGGAUCCGCGCUGCAUUAGCUAGUUGGUAAGGUAACGGCUUACCAAGGCAACGAUGCAUAGCCGACCUGAGAGGGUGGUCGGCCACACUGGAACUGAGGCACGGUCCAGACUCCUACGGGAGGCAGCAGUAGGGAAUCUUCCGCAAUGGGCGAAAGCCUGACGGAGCAACGCCGCGUGAGUGAUGAAGGUCUUCGGAUCGUAAAACUCUGUUAUUAGGGAAGAACAUAUGUGUAAGUAACUGUGAACAUAUUGACGGUACCUAAUCAGAAAGCCACGGCUAACUACGUG
Molecule: ribosomal RNA, 497 nt
Filed under: uncultured bacterium
Lineage: Bacteria
Description: partial 16S ribosomal RNA
Rfam family: Bacterial small subunit ribosomal RNA
Source: RNAcentral